Molecule: ribosomal RNA, 1817 nt
Filed under: Microgynium incisum
Lineage: Eukaryota; Metazoa; Arthropoda; Arachnida; Mesostigmata; Microgyniidae
Description: SSU rRNA
Rfam family: Eukaryotic small subunit ribosomal RNA
Source: RNAcentral
GUAGUCAUAUGCUUGUCUCAAAGAUUAAGCCAUGCAUGUCUAAGUGCAAGCCUAAACAAAUGGUGAAACCGCGAAUGGCUCAUUAAAUCAGUUAUGAUUUCCUAGAAACUCUGGUUACUUGGAUAACUGUGGUAAUUCUAGAGCUAAUACAUGCUUAUUGUCCGGAACCUGUCAUGGGUACUGAACAUGCGUUUAUUAGACAAAUGACCGUCUGCUGGAGACUAUCUGGUGGGACACGCAUCCUCAUAGGAGGAUAGCUUGGACGGUGAUGACUCUGUGUAUCCGCGCGAUCGCUUAGGCCUCGAGCCGGCGACGAUUCUUUCAAGUGUCUGCUCUAUCAACUGUCGAUGGUAGGUUAAACGCCUACCAUGGUUGUAACGGGUGACGGAGAAUCAGGGUUCGAUUCCGGAGAGGGAGCCUGAGAAACGGCUACCACAUCCAAGGAAGGCAGCAGGCGCGUAAAUUACCCAAUCCCAGAACGGGGAGGUAGUGACGAAAAAUAACGAUACGGGACUCUUAUGAGGCCCCGUAAUUGGAAUGAGUACACUCUAAAUCCUUUAACGAGGAUCUAUUGGAGGGCAAGUCUGGUGCCAGCAGCCGCGGUAAUUCCAGCUCCAAUAGCGUAUAUUAAAGUUGCUGCGGUUAAAAAGCUCGUAGUUGAAAUUGCUGUCAAGCGUUGAACGGUUACUAUUCGUAUCUGUUUGGCGACUUGGCACAUAUCGGGGGCUGAUCAUCGUCCUCUUUAUUGAGGGCUUUGUUUGGCCUUCCCACUGAUCACUCUGAUAAAAUUAGGGUGCUUAAAGCAGGCCGUGUGCCUCCAUAUCAAUGCAUGGAAUGAUGGAAGAGGUUGCUGUUCCGUUGUUGGUUUUAGGAAUUGGCAAGAUGAUUGAUAGGAACAGACGGGGGCAUUUGUAUUGCGGCGCUAGAGGUGAAAUUCUUGGACCGUCGCAAGACAAACUACAGCGAAAGCAUUUGCCAAGAAUGUUUUCAUUGAUCAAGAACGAAAGUUAGAGGUUCGAAGGCGAUCAGAUACCGCCCUAGUUCUAACCAUAAACGAUGCCAACUAGCAAUCCGACUGAGUUGUCUAUUUGACUCGUCGGGCAGCCCCGGGAAACCAAAGUACGGUUCCGGGGGAAGUAUGGUUGCAAAGCUGAAACUUAAAGGAAUUGACGGAAGGGCACCACCAGGAGUGGAGCCUGCGGCUUAAUUUGACUCAACACGGGGAAACUCACCCGGCCCGGACACUGAAAGGAUUGACAGAUUGAGAGCUCUUUCUUGAUUCGGUGGAUGGUGGUGCAUGGCCGUUCUUAGUUGGUGGAGCGAUCUGUCUGGUUAAUUCCGAUAACGAACGAGACUCUAGCCUAUUAAAUAGACGUGACGUCCUUUGUACGUCACGUGUACCUUCUUAGAGGGACAAGGUGCUUUCAGCACCGCGAAACAGAGCAAUAACAGGUCUGUGAUGCCCUUAGAUGUCCGGGGCCGCACGCGCGCUACAAUGAAGAUAACAGCGUGUGAGUUCCCUUGUUUGAAAAAACUGGGUAACCCCAUGAAACGUCUUCUUGAUUGGGAUUGGGGCUUGCAAUUAUUCCCCUUGAACGAGGAAUUCCCAGUAAACGCUAGUCAUCAGCUAGUGUUGAUUACGUCCCUGCCCUUUGUACACACCGCCCGUCGCUACUACCGAUUGAAUGAUUUAGUGAGGGUUUCCAACUGCCCGCCUGGGCGGCUUCACGGCUAGAAGGGAAGGCGGAAGGACGCCCAAACUUGAUCAUUUAGAGGAAGUAAAGUCGUAACAAGGUUUCCGUAGGUGAACCUGCGGA